AAAAUAUAUUGUUUUUGAAAAGAUGAGUAAUAUGCAUAAGUUUGUGUGGAUUUUUCUUGCUACAAUGGCCAUGCUUUUGCUUCUAACUCACGCUCAAUAUGACGUUGGUAUGGAAGGGAAGUUGGGAGAUCUCGUUCCAUUAACUUGUGAUCUAUCUUGUUCCAAACUGAGCACGCCCGAUAUGGAGAAAUGUGAACAAUUAUGUCGUCAAAGAAACUUUAAAGAUGGAGUAUGCAUUAGAAACCCAAAUUAUAUAGCAUGUUGUUGUAGCUUUGGGUGAGAUCCAAUAAAGUAUAAUUACUUGUGUAUCCAAAAAGGGUUGAAAGUUGUUAUCUACAUUAUAUACAUGUAUUAAAUAAAUUAUAAAUGAUGAAUUGAAAGUAUACAAUUAUUCUA
Long non-coding RNA from Cucumis sativus (cucumber), 396 nucleotides. RefSeq lists it as uncharacterized. The transcript is spliced from 2 exons. NCBI's taxonomy places the organism in Eukaryota, Viridiplantae, Streptophyta, Magnoliopsida, Cucurbitales, Cucurbitaceae. The record is from RefSeq and is a predicted model, not a curated record.